Scophthalmus maximus (turbot) is the source of this 2097-nucleotide RNA transcript. It is a transcript of the gene named NSE2 (MMS21) homolog, SMC5-SMC6 complex SUMO ligase, with no coding region annotated. Lineage: Eukaryota; Metazoa; Chordata; Actinopteri; Pleuronectiformes; Scophthalmidae. The transcript is spliced from 9 exons. The record is from RefSeq and is a predicted model, not a curated record.
CAGCGACCCUUGUAGUUACUUGAAUUUCCGCGGGUGACUUCAGUGUUUACCUACUUUACCUUCACACUGUCUUUUGUCUUUACAAUAUAAUUAUAUAAAACACGCUGACACACAUUAAGACAUCGCUGGUUGACGUUUGAAACAGCCGCACGUACGUGUUGGAAGCUAAGCUAACCGGAGUGAUGGGACAGGCUAACGCUAGCAAGCUAGGCUAACGCAACGCUAGCUUAAGUUUUAUGUUUUGAGUUUUGUGUUUGACGGUCAGUCCUCGAUCCCGGAGGAUUCAAGUCGUGAUGUCCCUGAGCGCCGUCCACGGAGCUCUGUCGAGCCUGAAGGCGUGUCAGGCGGACAUCGGGACGGGGAUGGACAUCGUGACAGACGUGGCGAUGGACCUGGCGGAAACUCUUGAUGGAGAUGUGAACCCGGGCAUGAAAGAGAUGGAGGACAUGAUUUUGGAGUGUGCCAGGCUGGACAGGGAGAUCAACUUCUUUGUUGAUGUUGUGCAACAAGUCACAUCUGAGAUUGCCGCACAGCAGCCAGAGGCCAUGUUCAGCCUGUCUGACAAAGUGAAGGAGCAGUUCACGGAGAGAACGGCCAGACUCUCCGACGCUGAUCUGCACCAGCACCAGAAAGUGGUGGCCUUCAAGGAGAGCGUCAAGAGCUCUCUGAACCCAGCCAACCAGGAGUCGACAGAGAACAUGGAGGAGCUAGAUGAUGACAUCGCUGUUACACAGAGCCAAGUCAACUUCACCUGCCCACUCACACAGGUGGAAAUGGUGAACCCAGUGAAGAAUAAGAAGUGUAACCACUAUUAUGACGAAGGAGCUAUACUGGGCCUGAUGAGAACGAAACACAGCCAGAAGAAGAAGUGCCGCUGCCCCGUGGUGGGAUGUGGGAACAUUGAUGUGAAAGAGACGGACCUCCUUCCUGACCAGAUGCUGAGGAGAAAGAUCCAGAGUCAAAAGAGACACAUGUAGUGGCUGGUGAACGUCUCAUAAGACUCAUGCCUCGAUGCACAUGAUGCAGUAAUUUGUCAGUACCACAAGGGAGCAGCCUCCGCACAAGGACACAAGGAUUAACAGGGUGUCUGCGGCUCGGGAGAUAACUGUAGCAGGAUCUUGGAGAUAACAAAUGAAGUUCCUAAAAAAACGAUGACAACAACAACAACACAGUUUUGCGAAGGAGCCCUAAACAAACUGUUCUUUAAGAUCUGGAGCUCAAAAGGAGGAAGUGUAAUGGCUGCAGCUCGGGACACUGUGAGACUGUGUGUCUGUAUGUCCGAGGAGGAUUUGACCUCGUGCCGGAAGUGAGCGCAGGAGUCCUGCAGUGCCAGAGCUGGACGGAGUGGACGGAGAUCAGCGGCCGCUCCGAUACGAAUGACACUCUGAACUCUGGUUCGGUCCAGGUGUCGUGCUCCUCCCCCUCUCUGGGUUCCACAGGUUGGCCUCUCCCACCCCCCCAAAAAAAGGAGAGUGUGGCCGAUUGUGCUGCUUCCACAGUUGACACACUGCAGAUUUGUCAAGCAAAACUGUUUUUCUCUGCGGUCGCCAACAUCACCUUCCUCUCUGCAGUGAACAUAACCAUUUCCUCUCGAGCAGGGUUGAGUUUUUUUCAUUUUUUAGGCCCUCAAGUGACAGGAGAACUUUUACAGAAAGUAUUGUGAGUAGAGAAAAUCUACUUGUGUGUGUGUGCACACUGAAGGGUUUGGAUUAGGCCUUUCUGUCAUUUUGACAUGUCAUUGGAGGAAAAGUACAGGUGUAAAUUAUAUAAAUGUGAGCACAGGGUGUAUUUCAGAGAUAGUUUCUGUUUUGAUAACCCCCCUCCCCCAACCAAACCAAAAUCAGGUUUUUACAGUUGUCAUCUAAAACCACUUCUCUAGCAUUGAUGGCGAAGGACAGUGUGAAGAAAAAGGCGGAAGGAUGUCUCCUUUCUUCUUUAACAUUGCUCCUUCUGUCCUUCAUACAGAAUGUCUGCUGCUCUCUCGUCAGAGAAAUGUUGAUAUAUUUUUAUAUAGAUUUCCAUUUUUCAUGGGCCCAUGCAUCUUUUGUAGACGUGCAUUAAAACUCCUUUUGUUAAAGAGAAUGUAUGGAUGUAUAA